Molecule: long non-coding RNA, 1004 nt
Organism: Aegilops tauschii subsp. strangulata
Lineage: Eukaryota; Viridiplantae; Streptophyta; Magnoliopsida; Poales; Poaceae
Source: RefSeq, a predicted model, not a curated record
CAAUCACCGUGCUCCUCAAAUCUCCGCCGCCGCCACCUCCGAUUCCGCCUGAGCCCGGCCAUCUCCGGCGCCUCCAUCAACGGGCGGGACUUCGCCUCGCCCCACUCUACCGAUUUCCCGCCUGAACCGCUGCUCUAGGCCCCUGAUGCGCCCGCACGACUAACCCUAGCCGUGCCUCGGGGUCGCCGGCAAGGCGGUGUGGUGGCCGUCGGCUGAGCCCUCGCGCAGCUCCUCUCGGACCUCGCGCCCCUCUUAGUCGCAGCUGCGUUCAUCCACUCUGCACCUUUGCUGCGUCCUCCUCCGGCAAACUGCUUCUCCGCCUGGCUGCGGAGUCUGUCGGACACCAUUGUAGGUGCCUCGCGCGCUCUUGGAACCACAGGGAGUGGAUGCUGGUGCCGAUAUUUCGUCAAACAGGUUGGCUGCAUGAAUCCAGGGAGGCGGAGCUUCAAUCAGUACUCAAGAUAUAGACACCGCAAUGCAGGAAUCACAUAUGUAUUGCACGAGCAGAUAAGGCAGCUAAGUAAGAUGGGGAAAAUGGGCAACUAAUCAAAGAAUGGAGCCUCGGGCCACAGACCAUGGAACUGCUCCGGCCGGCCAAAACGAACCAUUUCUGUGUACUAAGACUAACAAUCUAGCAACCGAUUGGCUGAUGGAAUCACGCACAGAGCAGCCUCUUGGUAGGAAUGAGUUGGCUGUUAGUUAGAUCCCGUGCCCUUUUAAGUACUAGCUACUAGCCUCCGAUUCCCAUUACUACGACUGAGAAGAAACUAAAGGACGGCGUACUGACCUGCAAGCGUUGGUCGCCAAGCCGGGCGCUUCAGUCUCACUGGCUCUCACUGGCAGGCAUGUGUGAAGGCCUUGAUUUUUUAUUUUUAUUUUUGAGCAACAACUGAGAGUUUUACAUAGCCCGGGGGCAAUAAAAGCCAAACAUGGCCGCCCACAUUAAGGACUAAAUAAUUUCUAUCAAUAUAAUGGGCAUGCCAUUUACAGCUCCUACUUUCAAA